CCUACGGGAGGCUGCAGUAAGGAAUAUUGGUCAAUGGACGAAAGUCUGAACCAGCCAUCCCGCGUGCAGGAUGAAAGCCCUAUGGGUUGUAAACUGCUUUUAGCAGAGAAGAAAAGCUUUCAUUAAUGAGAGUCUGACGGUAUCUGCAGAAUAAGCACCGGCUAACUCCGUGCCAGCAGCCGCGGUAAUACGGAGGGUGCGGGAGUUAUCCGGAAUUACGGGUGCGAAGGGGGAGUAAGGAGGAGUUUGUGAAAUCGUGUCGCUUAACGUUAAAAUUGCCAAUGAUACUGGGACUCUUGAAUUGGGUUGAGGUUAGCGGAAUGUGACAUGUAGCGGUGAAAUGCAUAGAUAUGUCAUGGAACACCAAUUGCGAAGGCAGCUAACUGGGCCUUGAUUGACGCUGAGGCACGAAAGCGUGGGUAGCGAACAGGAUUAGAUACCCCAGUAGUC
RNAcentral lists this ribosomal RNA (450 nucleotides) under uncultured bacterium. RNAcentral describes it as "partial 16S ribosomal RNA". It matches the Rfam family "Bacterial small subunit ribosomal RNA", at positions 338 to 795 of the family's 1533-position model. The record is from RNAcentral.